RNAcentral lists this non-coding RNA (223 nucleotides) under Bacillaceae bacterium. RNAcentral describes it as "T-box sequence". It matches the Rfam family "T-box leader". From Rfam's summary of the family: Uncharged tRNA acts as the effector for transcription antitermination of genes in the T-box leader family. T-boxes are found upstream of many aminoacyl-tRNA synthetase genes and some amino acid biosynthetic genes usually in Gram-positive bacteria. Lineage: Bacteria; Bacillati; Bacillota; Bacilli; Caryophanales; Bacillaceae. The record is from RNAcentral.
GACAACGCGAUGAUAGGGACAGUACAUUUUUUAGCUGUUUAAGCGAGUCGGGGAAUGGUGAAAGCCCGGCAGAGGCGAAAAAUGGAAGAUCACCCUGGAGCGCUCUUUUCGAACGGGAUCCUACUAGAGAAGAGCGGGUCAUUCACGAUACGAAUGCUUAAGUGAACAUGGCGUUGCUAUGUUAAUCAGGGUGGUACCGCGGGAAAACCUUCUCGUCCCUUUU